CUGUGUGUCUAGGGAGAAGAAUGUGGGAACUUCAAACAAUAACUUAAUGAUGGUUCAGGAAAUUCAGGAAAGACAGGCUGCUGUAGCUUUCUGCCCUUGGAGGAAGCCUCGAUGUAUUGCCCUUUGCAUCCGGAAUGAAAAGUUUGCUCAUGAAGCUGGAGGAAAACCUUAUGCUUUCAGAAGGUGACAUCUGAGCCUGCUUGAAUCAGCCUGUCCCCCUGUUUCUUCCAAAGAGUUCUAUUUUUCCUCAUUCUGCAGCCCUAGGUUCUAACCUGCUCUUGACUCACACUGGCCCACACCGCUGUAUCGUCUGCUUGGCUAGCACUCAGCCAGAUUUCACCUGGGCAUUGGGGUUGCUUCUAAGACCGACUGCCUCUUCAUCCUGACUGCAGCUGCUUCUUUCGUUGUCCUGAGUUUGUAUAUUUUGGUCUUCUUGAGUA
Long non-coding RNA from Myotis davidii, 440 nucleotides. RefSeq lists it as uncharacterized. The transcript is spliced from 4 exons. NCBI's taxonomy places the organism in Eukaryota, Metazoa, Chordata, Mammalia, Chiroptera, Vespertilionidae. The record is from RefSeq and is a predicted model, not a curated record.